This 72-nucleotide transfer RNA is filed under the name Mus musculus (house mouse). RNAcentral describes it as "tRNA-Thr". Lineage: Eukaryota; Metazoa; Chordata; Mammalia; Rodentia; Muridae. The record is from RNAcentral.
GGUGAGAUGGCUCAGUGGGUAAGAGCACCUGACUGGUUUUCCGAAGGUCCAGGGUUCAAAUCCCAGCAACCA